UUAUUAUUUUUCCUCAUAUAGAUCCCCUCUUUCAGAAGUAAAUGGUAUAUAUGAGAAAGAAAGAAUCAGAGGCAGUGAGGAGAAAAGAAACAGGGUUUUUACAGAAAAUGACUAGUAGGACACAGCUGAGAAUCAAGGGAUGAUUUUUAUUUUAUUGAAGGAAAUUUUUUUAUUCUCCUCAGGUAUUCAAGAAAGUUCUGCCCCUAGCCUGCUCUCCAUCAAGAAAUGCUUCACCUGCAAAUCAGACUUUGCUGAUGAAAUCUGUGAUCACACCUUGGAGCAGCA
This 285-nucleotide long non-coding RNA is filed under the name Ictidomys tridecemlineatus (thirteen-lined ground squirrel). RNAcentral's name for it is "lncRNA (ENSSTOG00000033660.1)". Lineage: Eukaryota; Metazoa; Chordata; Mammalia; Rodentia; Sciuridae. The record is from RNAcentral.